Molecule: ribosomal RNA, 253 nt
Filed under: uncultured bacterium
Lineage: Bacteria
Description: partial 16S ribosomal RNA
Rfam family: Bacterial small subunit ribosomal RNA
Source: RNAcentral
UACGAAGGGGGCUAGCGUUGCUCGGAAUUACUGGGCGUAAAGCGCACGUAGGCGGCUCUUUAAGUCGGAGGUGAAAUCCUGGAGCUCAACUCCAGAACUGCCUUCGAUACUGAAGAGCUCGAGUCCGGGAGAGGUGAGUGGAACUGCGAGUGUAGAGGUGAAAUUCGUAGAUAUUCGCAAGAACACCAGUGGCGAAGGCGGCUCACUGGCCCGGUACUGACGCUGAGGCGCGAAAGCGUGGGGAGCGAACAGG